This 73-nucleotide transfer RNA is filed under the name Hydrogenivirga caldilitoris. It matches the Rfam family "tRNA". From Rfam's summary of the family: Transfer RNA (tRNA) molecules are approximately 80 nucleotides in length. Their secondary structure includes four short double-helical elements and three loops (D, anti-codon, and T loops). Lineage: Bacteria; Pseudomonadati; Aquificota; Aquificia; Aquificales; Aquificaceae. The record is from Rfam by way of RNAcentral. RNAcentral also lists the same sequence under 5 other names.
GCCCAGGUAGCUCAGUCGGCAGAGCACACCCUUGGUAAGGGUGAGGUCGCCGGUUCAAGUCCGGUCCUGGGCU